Molecule: long non-coding RNA, 683 nt
Organism: Oreochromis niloticus (Nile tilapia)
Lineage: Eukaryota; Metazoa; Chordata; Actinopteri; Cichliformes; Cichlidae
Exons: 3
Source: RefSeq, a predicted model, not a curated record
CACUGACCACUCCUUCAAUGAAGACAGUAAUGAGAUCAUCUGCACACUCCACAGAGCUCCAGAGUUACUGUUCAUAGCAAAAGUGUAAUGCUGUCCUUGGAGAUUUUCACCUAAGACUGUGAGUGUGAGUGUGUAAUGGAUUUCAAAGUGUUUAAGUGUUCAGAGCACUCUACAGCCUGGUAAGGUGGCAAGUUUGAAAAGAGCAGCAGAAGGUAUCAGUACUGUAGUGUAACUUGUUCUUUUCCUUUCCUAACAGUGAACAGAGUGCCGAUUAUUAUCGACAGCUACGUCCACCCGGGGUGAAAGUAGUGUGGGAGACCAUCAGGACCCAGCUGGGUUUCCUUGGUCCAGAGGUUUGGAGAAACCUCUUCCUUUUCUUUCAUCACAGCUGUCCUGUGCCAGAUGUUCUGUUGACCCACUGAGAGAGGCGUGUUUGAGAAAGAUCAGGAAGACUGAAGCUCAUGGUAGGAAUGAAGGAGGACCUUGUGAGCUCCACCAGCAGCUCCCUCACAAGGAACUGUUCACAAGUCCACUGCAGGCACGCCCCAGAAGAUGGAUAAAGGCAGCGUUUCAUGAAGACACUGGAACCAAUCUAUCUUCAUAACAGCAGGAUAAAGACAUGGUGAUAAAUGAGUGUGUGGGCCGUCUGCUGAGGACCAGGAGCUCAGGACACUCAGACGGGG